RNAcentral lists this transfer RNA (76 nucleotides) under Pseudomonas phage psageK4. RNAcentral's name for it is "tRNA-Gly". It matches the Rfam family "tRNA". From Rfam's summary of the family: Transfer RNA (tRNA) molecules are approximately 80 nucleotides in length. RNAcentral also lists the same sequence under 1 other name. Lineage: Duplodnaviria; Heunggongvirae; Uroviricota; Caudoviricetes; Vandenendeviridae. The record is from RNAcentral.
GCGUGAUUCGUAUAGAGGUCUAAUACUCUCGGCUUCCACCCGAGGAACCACGGUUCGACUCCGUGAUCCCGCACCA